GAUGAACGCUGGCGGCGUGCCUAAUACAUGCAAGUCGAGCGAACGGACGAGAAGCUUGCUUCUCUGAUGUUAGCGGCGGACGGGUGAGUAACACGUGGAUAACCUACCUAUAAGACUGGGAUAACUUCGGGAAACGGGAGCUAAUACCGGAUGAUAUUUUGAACCGCAUGGUUCAAAAGUGAAAGACGGUCUUGCUGUCACUUAUAGAUGGAUCCGCGCUUCAUUGGCUAGUUGGUAGGGUAACGGCUUACCAAGGCAACGAUGCAUAGCCGACCUGAGAGGGGGUACGGCCACACUGGAACUGGAAACGGGCCAAAACCCCUACGGGAGGCGCCAGUAGGGAAUCUUCCGAAUGGGGCGAAAGCCUGACGGAGCAAGGCGGCGUGGGGGAUGAAGGUCUUCGGAUCGUAAAACUCUUUGAUUAGGGAAGAACAUAUGUGUAAGUAACUGUGCACAUCGUGACGGUACCUAAUCAGAAAGCCACGGCUAACUACGUG
This 497-nucleotide ribosomal RNA is filed under the name uncultured bacterium. RNAcentral describes it as "partial 16S ribosomal RNA". It matches the Rfam family "Bacterial small subunit ribosomal RNA", at positions 28 to 507 of the family's 1533-position model. The record is from RNAcentral.